GGAUUUAGCUCAGCGGUAGAGCGCUUGCCUAGCAAGCGCAAGGCCCUGGGUUCGGUUCCCAGAUCCG
Non-coding RNA from Rattus norvegicus (Norway rat), 67 nucleotides. The record is from Rfam. NCBI's taxonomy places the organism in Eukaryota, Metazoa, Chordata, Mammalia, Rodentia, Muridae.